CAGAGUUUGAUCCUGGCUCAGGACGAACGCUGGCGGCGUGCCUAACACAUGCAAGUCGAGCGAUGAAGCCCUUCGGGGUGGAUUAGCGGCGGACGGGUGAGUAACACGUGGGUAACCUGCCUUGUAGAGGGGGAUAGCCUUCCGAAAGGAAGAUUAAUACCGCAUAACAUCUUUUUAUCGCAUGGUAGAAAGAUCAAAGGAGCAAUCCGCUACAAGAUGGACCCGCGGCGCAUUAGCUAGUUGGUGAGGUAACGGCUCACCAAGGCGACGAUGCGUAGCCGACCUGAGAGGGUGAUCGGCCACAUUGGAACUGAGACACGGUCCAGACUCCUACGGGAGGCAGCAGUGGGGAAUAUUGCGCAAUGGGGGAAACCCUGACGCAGCAACGCCGCGUGAAUGAAGAAGGCCUUAGGGUUGUAAAGUUCUGUUUACGGGGACGAUAAUGACGGUACCCGUGGAGGAAGCCACGGCUAACUACGUGCCAGCAGCCGCGGUAAUACGUAGGUGGCAAGCGUUGUCCGGAUUUACUGGGCGUAAAGGAUGCGUAGGCGGAUGAUUAAGUGAGAUGUGAAAUACCCGGGCUCAACUUGGGUGCUGCAUUUCAAACUGGUCACCUAGAGGUGCGGGAGAGGAAAGCGGAAUUCCUAGUGUAGCGGUGAAAUGCGUAGAGAUUAGGAAGAACACCAGUGGCGAAAGGCGGCUUUCUGGACCGUAACUGACGCUGAGGCGUGAAAGCGUGGGGAGCAAACAGGAUUAGAUACCCUGGUAGUCCACGCCGUAAAACGAUGAAUACUAGGUGUAGGAGG
Molecule: ribosomal RNA, 806 nt
Filed under: uncultured bacterium
Lineage: Bacteria
Description: bacterial SSU rRNA
Rfam family: Bacterial small subunit ribosomal RNA
Source: RNAcentral